GGAUGGGUGGCCGAGUGGUUUAAGGCAGCGGUCUUGAAAACCGCCGAGCGUGGAAGCGUUCCGUGGGUUCGAAUCCCACCCCAUCCG
RNAcentral lists this transfer RNA (87 nucleotides) under Roseibium suaedae. RNAcentral describes it as "Labrenzia sp. YC6927 tRNA". It matches the Rfam family "tRNA". From Rfam's summary of the family: Transfer RNA (tRNA) molecules are approximately 80 nucleotides in length. Their secondary structure includes four short double-helical elements and three loops (D, anti-codon, and T loops). Lineage: Bacteria; Pseudomonadati; Pseudomonadota; Alphaproteobacteria; Hyphomicrobiales; Stappiaceae. The record is from Rfam by way of RNAcentral.